AUGGAACCAAUGGAAACCGGUGGAAUGUGUGCAUUUGAUACACUAGGUGUCAAUAUUGAGAACAGCUCAAUAAAGCUCUUACACGCAAAUUCCCAUAUCAUCAUGUUUGCCGGAAAAGCCGUCCCAGACACCUACAUUCACAAAAUCCCUGAAAGAGGCUCUUCUAUCAAUCUCAUUUUCUUGAUGAGAAAAUUGAGCUUCAGAGAUCAAGCAGUGUCCCCAAAGACAUACAGCUGGUAAGUGGUAAAGUCGGAUUUUAAAGUCUAGUAUUUGCAGCCCCAAAGCCCAUGGCGCUUUCACUUUAAUCUCUGCCUCCAUCAAGUCAGUCGCUAGUAAUAAAGCAGAGAUUAAGCAUUCUCAGGAUGAGAAAAUAGGAAGGCAACCAGGGUGUUCUAUGGGUGAGAUCCCUUUUAUGCUCUCCCUGGCUCACUUAAAGCCCUGGGAUUAUAGCCGUGGUUCUUUUCCUUGUUAUCUCAUUCAGCGCUGGUCACUAAAUGUUUGUUUUCUUUUAUUAGCCCACUGUAUGCUUAGUAGGGGCUCGGGUUUCCUCGUUGUGUUUGCCUAGCUUCUUGUAAGCUUGAGCCAUCUGUUCCUCUCAAGGUAGACUGGAUGACAUUUUUCCCCGAGAUUUCCCUACUUUGUAUUUUAUAAGGGAAGCCAAACUAGCUGAUUCGUUGUCCUUCUCUUUCUCUUCUUCCUCCUCCUCCUCAAUAUGACAACACUGAGAAGCAGCCUUAAAGAACAAUGCCAUGGCCAUAUCCAUACACUUGAAAUUAUGUCAUGUUUGGAUUGAAAACUAUGAUCAAAGUGAAGCAGUGGAACUUUGCAGUUCAUCAAACAGGAUGUUUUGAGCCCAAAACCCACAAAUGUGUUUCAGCACACUCGAGCUGUGUAAUCCUGGGUGAGUUAUUAAACUGCUAUCUGCAAUUUUCUCACCUGUCAAGUGGGGCUAAUAAUAGACUUAUUAUUUCGUGUGGGAGGAUUUGCUGAUCUAUAUAUAAUGGUUUUAGUACAGUGUUAUAAACUAGCAAACACAUACUUAAAGUUAUCUAUUAAUGCAUGGAAAUUAGAGGUGAAUCAAGUUGGGCUCUUCAUGUACAAAAUACUGUAUGACGUUUAGAGCAAUUCAACCUGAGAUAAGCUGAGUUCCAGAGGCAGACAGGUCUAAGAGAGCUUCUGACAUGAACACUGCAGACACCAGCAUCCAUUCAUUCCAAAUAUUAAUAUGAUCUUCCCUCAAAGGCUGUGAUAUAGUUGGAUUUCUUGAGACCUCUUCUUAGAGAGACAAGAACUUUGUUACUUAAAUGACCAAUCAUGAUCAGCUCAAAAACAGCACCUAUAGUUCUGUGGUAAACCAAACUCUGAAUCUGAACGAUCAUUCAUCAGGCAAGUCUAGAAAGAGCUUUCAUUUUGGAAUUUAAGGACAAAUUAUUGAAUUGGCCUCGGAUAUGGGCGACUGGUCCCUCAAUUCAAUAGGGCUGGCUGUGUAAACAUAAAACAUGCUUUCAGGAUGUUUGCCCAGGGUGGGAUAAAAAGGGUAACCAUUAAUCCAACAAUUCCUAUCCCCCAGUGCUCAAAUUUUUACCCUAAAAUGUGGUAGCUCCUCGCACUUCCAAGUUUUAUAUCUAUGAACACAUUGUGACAGGGAGAAAGAAGUCUUGGGUCUGGACACAUACAGAAAAUGUAUAAAGAAAUUCUGCAAAUUAAUAAACAAACAUCAAACAACCCUACAGAAAACUGGGCUAAAUACAUAGGCAUUUCACAAAAGGAGAUAUUUAAAUGGCUAGUAAUCAUACGAAAAAGUGUUCAUUAUUGUCAUCACGAAAAUGGAAAUUAAAGCACAAAGAGAUAUGACUACACAACCACCAGAAUGCCAAAAUUAAAGAUUGAAGAAGUUAUAUAUUGGGGUGGGUGGAUGUAGGGCAACUGAAACUCUCCUAUACCAGCGGUGGGGAGUGCAAAUUGGUAAAAUCUUUUUAGAAAACUGACCACAUAUUCUAAAUGGAAACUAUUCUAUUACUAUUCUAAAUUGUACCUAUUCUAUUACCCAGAAAUUAUAUGUCUAAGUAUGCAUCCAAGAGAAAUGCAUAUAUAAUUCACAAAAAAAACACAUAUAACAGUGUUUGUGGUAGGAUUGCUGUCAUUGUCCUAAGCUAGGUUUCUCAACCACAGCACUACUGACACAUUGAAUUGAAUAAUUUUUUGUUGUGGGGGAUUUCCUGGUGCUUUAUAGGAUGAUUAGCAUUGUCUUGGCCUCUAUUCACUAGGUUCCAGUAGCCUCCCCCACUCAUUACAACCCAACAUGUUUCCAGACUUUGCCCAAUAUCCCCUGGGGGCCGAAAAAUCAUCCCCGGUUGAAAACCGUUGUUCUAAUUUCAAAAGAAUCCAAAAACCUAUCAACAAUAGUAUGAAAAAAUAAUGGGAAGCAUGUUCAUUCAUUGCAAU
Molecule: long non-coding RNA, 2445 nt
Organism: Callithrix jacchus (white-tufted-ear marmoset)
Lineage: Eukaryota; Metazoa; Chordata; Mammalia; Primates; Cebidae
Source: Ensembl